UGCCUGGCAGUUCCCUACUCUCGCAUGGGGAGACCCCACACUACCAUCGGCGCUACGGCGUUUCACUUCUGAGUUCGGCAUGGGGUCAGGUGGGACCACCGCGCUACAGCCGCCA
RNAcentral lists this ribosomal RNA (115 nucleotides) under Citrobacter sp. A1. The record is from RNAcentral. Lineage: Bacteria; Pseudomonadati; Pseudomonadota; Gammaproteobacteria; Enterobacterales; Enterobacteriaceae.